Molecule: long non-coding RNA, 1199 nt
Filed under: Selaginella moellendorffii
Lineage: Eukaryota; Viridiplantae; Streptophyta; Lycopodiopsida; Selaginellales; Selaginellaceae
Description: long non-coding RNA (SMOE_LNC001388)
Source: RNAcentral
UAGCUCGUCUUCGACAGUGAUGGGAGCUGCGUCAUCUGGAGCAGUGAUAGCUUUGUCUUUGGCUGGUGUGAAAUCUUCUGGUACUCUUUCAGCUUCUUUCUCUUUCUCUUCCUCUUGAGUUCCUUCGUCUUUGGCAGUGAUGGGAGCUGCUUCGUCUGGAACAAUGAGAUCUUUGUCUUCGCCUGGUGUGGAAACUUCUGGUACUGCUUUCUCUUUGUCUUCCUCCUGAGUUUCUGCGAGCUGAGUUCCAUCGUCUUCGGCAGUAAUGAGAGCUGCUUCGUCUAGAGCAAUGUCGCCUUUGUCUUCGGCUGGUGUUGUUGCUUCUUCCUUGUCGUUCUCGUGGACGAUGCUUGUUGUUUCGAGCUCCUUAGCCUUCUGAUCCUCGCGAUUCUCUGCUGGAUGAGUUCCUUCACCAGCAGCUACCGCCGCUUCUUUCUCUUCGUCCGCAGAUACUAUUGUUUCUUCAACUGUUGCUUCUUCAUCUUUGCCCGCUUCUUGGUCCGGAAAGGUGACAUCUGCGUCGUGAAAUUCUUCCUUGUCCGGACUUAUACCUUCUGCUACUUGAGUUUCGUCGUGCACCUCCUCCUUGUCCGGAAUUGUAUCUCCUGCUACUUGAGUUUCGUUGUGCACCUCUUCCAUGUCCGGAAUAAGAGUUUCCUUGUGCACCUCGUCCUUGUCCAGAAUUAUAUCUUCGGCUACUUGAGUUUCGUCGUGCACCUCUUCCUUGUCCGGAAUUAUAUCUUCGGCUACUUGAGCUUCAUCGUGGAUCUCUUCUCUGUCUGGAAUUAUGUCUUCUGCUGUCUGAGUGCUCGUGGAAAGAGCAUCCGUUUGGAGAACUGUUGUUUCUUUCUCUUUCUCUCCGCUUGGAUCUUGAUCUUCUGCUACUUGAAAUCUUUCCUCGCGUUUGUCAGUUGCUUCCAUCUCCGAGUUUUCUGCGAUCUUAGCCUGAGUUUCUUCACUGCUCACUGUUUCUUGCACCUUUUCUUCGUCGUCGCCAGCAGCUGGAACAUUCCUGUCCACGGCUUCGUCUUUCAAAGGUUCGUGUUCAAUCAGAUUUGUUGACUCCUCGGUGUCUCUAAUAUCUUGCUCGCCUUCUUCAGUCCGACCUUCCACUGGAUUUUGGAUUGCUUCGUCACCACCUUCGACUGCCUUGUCCUCCCUGGCUUCGAUAGCUCCCUCGACAUCUUGGACUGUCGACG